RNAcentral lists this ribosomal RNA (240 nucleotides) under Erwinia amylovora. Its description in RNAcentral is "partial 23S ribosomal RNA". It matches the Rfam family "Bacterial large subunit ribosomal RNA", at positions 1 to 232 of the family's 2925-position model. The record is from RNAcentral. Lineage: Bacteria; Pseudomonadati; Pseudomonadota; Gammaproteobacteria; Enterobacterales; Erwiniaceae.
GGGUUGUGAGGUUAAGCGACUAAGCGUACACGGUGGAUGCCCAGGCAGUCAGAGGCGAUGAAGGGCGUGCUAAUCUGCGAUAAGCGUCGGUAAGGUGAUAUGAACCGCAACAACCGACGAUACCCGAAUGGGGAAACCCAGUGCAAUCCGUUGCACUAUCAUGUCAUGAAUACAUAGUGGCAUGAGGCGAACCGGGGGAACUGAAACAUCUAAGUACCCCGAGGAAAAGAAAUCAACCGA